GGGCAUAGCUCAGUUGGUAGAGCAUCAGCUUCCCAAGCUGAGGGUCGCGAGUUCGAGUCUCGUUACCC
This 68-nucleotide transfer RNA is filed under the name bovine gut metagenome. It matches the Rfam family "tRNA". Rfam says of the family: Transfer RNA (tRNA) molecules are approximately 80 nucleotides in length. The record is from RNAcentral.